UGUUGUAUUAUAAUUUAAUGUUCUGUUUUUUUAGAGACACAGAAGACCCAGCCAGAUGCAAGCAGCAUUGCUGAGAUACAGAAGACCCAGACGGAUUCAAACAGUGCUGCUGGAGGGUCUAAUGCAAGUGCUAAAAACCCCAGGAAGAGGACAAGAACGCUGUGGUCAAAGCAAGAGGUGAUGGCUGUGAUGAAGCAUUUCAAACCUCACAUAACCAAGGGAAAUCUGGCAACCAUGGCAGAAUGUCAGCAGUGCAAGGAUGCUGAAGACCCUGUGCUUGCCGGUCGAACAGCACAAAAUAUAAGAGAUUUUGUUAGAAAUCGAGGAAUCACCAAUAAAAGAAAAAUGCAGUCAAGCUAAAUAUAUUUUGUUUAGGGACAUGUGAGUUCAUGUUUUUCUUUUUUACUUUUUUUUGUUUGUUUAGGGACAUGUCAUUUAUGUUUAUCUGUUUACUUCUUUUCAUAAUCAAGGAAAUAGUAAUUUAUUUUUUUUCCUGCAGCAGAGUAACUAGAAAUGUUAUUUCUGAUUUGUUUCUGAUGUUAAACUGGUACUGUUGAACACAAGCAGGUAGAACAUGUGCCAAUAUCAUUGUUUACAAGGACCUGCAGUCAUGUGUAUAUUUGUGUGUAUUCAAGUACCAGUAAAUCA
Molecule: long non-coding RNA, 648 nt
Organism: Astyanax mexicanus (Mexican tetra)
Lineage: Eukaryota; Metazoa; Chordata; Actinopteri; Characiformes; Acestrorhamphidae
Exons: 3
Source: RefSeq, a predicted model, not a curated record